CCUACGGGAGGCAGCAGUGGGGAAUUUUGGACAAUGGACGCAAGUCUGAUCCAGCCAUGCCGCGUGCGGGAAGAAGGCCUUCGGGUUGUAAACCGCUUUUGUCAGGGAAGAAACGGGCGUCUCUAAUACAGAUGCCUAAUGACGGUACCUGAAGAAUAAGCACCGGCUAACUACGUGCCAGCAGCCGCGGUAAUACGUAGGGUGCAAGCGUUAAUCGGAAUUACUGGGCGUAAAGCGUGCGCAGGCGGUUAUGCAAGACAGAUGUGAAAUCCCCGGGCUCAACCUGGGAACUGCAUUUGUGACUGCAUGGCUAGAGUACGGUAGAGGGGGGAUGGAAUUCCGCGUGUAGCAGUGAAAUGCGUAGAUAUGCGGAGGAACACCGAUGGCGAAGGCAAUCCCCUGGACCUGUACUGACGCUCAUGCACGAAAGCGUGGGGAGCAAACAGGAUUAGAUACCCUGGUAGUCCACGCCCUAAACGAUGUCAACUGGUUGUUGGGAGGGUUUCUUCUCAGUAACGUAGCUAACGCGUGAAGUUGACCGCCUGGGGGNGGUACGGCCGCGAGGUAGAACGUACGAAAGAAAGUUAGACGGCGUGAGACGUAGACCGAACGGACGACGACGAGGGGAGGAGGG
This 634-nucleotide ribosomal RNA is filed under the name uncultured bacterium. RNAcentral describes it as "bacterial SSU rRNA". The stretch from base 1 to 543 matches the Rfam family "Bacterial small subunit ribosomal RNA", at positions 338 to 873 of the family's 1533-position model. The record is from RNAcentral.